RNAcentral lists this ribosomal RNA (2355 nucleotides) under Lacticaseibacillus rhamnosus. RNAcentral describes it as "bacterial LSU rRNA". It matches the Rfam family "Bacterial large subunit ribosomal RNA", at positions 1 to 2362 of the family's 2925-position model. The record is from RNAcentral. Lineage: Bacteria; Bacillati; Bacillota; Bacilli; Lactobacillales; Lactobacillaceae.
AGGUUAAGUUACAAAGGGCGCACGGUGGAUGCCUUGGCACUAGGAGCCGAUGAAGGACGGAACUAAUACCGAUAUGCUUCGGGGAGCUAUAAGUAAGCUUUGAUCCGGAGAUUUCCGAAUGGGGGAACCCAGUACACAUCAGUGUAUUGCCUGCAAGUGAAUACAUAGCUUGUUGGCGGCAGACGCGGGGAACUGAAACAUCUCAGUACCCGCAGGAAGAGAAAGAAAACUCGAUUCCCAUAGUAGCGGCGAGCGAAGUGGGAAGAGCCCAAACCGAGAAGCUUGCUUCUCGGGGUUGUAGGACUGGACAUUGGAGUUACCAAAGUUCGACGUAGUCGAAGUCAGCUGGAAAGCUGCGCCAUAGAAGGUGAAAGCCCUGUAAACGAAACGGCGGACUCUCCGUCCAGGAUCCUGAGUACGGCGGAACACGUGAAAUUCCGUCGGAAUCCGGGAGGACCAUCUCCCAAGGCUAAAUACUCCCUAGUGACCGAUAGUGAACCAGUACCGUGAGGGAAAGGUGAAAAGCACCCCGGAAGGGGAGUGAAACAGUUCCUGAAACCGUGUGCCUACAAUUAGUCAAAGCCCGUUAACGGGUAAUGGCGUGCCUUUUGUAGAAUGAACCGGCGAGUUACGUUUGCCUGCGAGGUUAAGAUGAAAAGUCGGAGCCGGAGCGAAAGCGAGUCUGAACAGGGCGCUUCAGUAGGUAGAUGUAGACCCGAAACCAAGUGACCUACCCAUGACCAGGUUGAAGGUGUGGUGAAACACACUGGAGGACCGAACCCAUGUAUGUUGAAAAAUGCUGGGAUGAGUUGUGGGUAGCGGUGAAAUUCCAAACGAACUUGGAGAUAGCUGGUUCUCUCCGAAAUAGCUUUAGGGUUAGCCUCGGAGGAUGGAUCAUGGAGGUAGAGCACUGUUUGAACUAGGGGCCCGUCAAGGGUUACUGAAUUCAGAUAAACUCCGAAUACCAUUGAUCUUACUCCGGGAGUCAGACAGUGAGCGAUAAGGUCCAUUGUCGAAAGGGGAACAGCCCAGAUCACCAGUUAAGGUCCCUAAAUUUAUGCUAAGUGGAAAAGGAUGUGGCGUUGCACAGACAACUAGGAUGUUGGCUCAGAAGCAGCCACCAUUUAAAGAGUGCGUAAUAGCUCACUAGUCGAGUGGCACUGCGCCGAAAAUAUACCGGGGCUAAGCAUAAUACCGAAACUGUGGGUGCACCCGUCAGGGUGCGCGGUAGGAGAGCGUUCUAAGGGCGUUGAAGGUCGAUCGUGAGGACGGCUGGAGCGCUUAGAAGUGAGAAUGCCGGCAUGAGUAGCGAAAGAUCAGUGAGAAUCUGAUCCACCGUAUGACUAAGGUUUCCUGGGGAAGGCUCGUCCUCCCAGGGUUAGUCGGGAUCUAAGGCGAGGCCGCAAGGCGUAGUCGAUGACAAGCAGGUUGAGAUUCCUGCACUAGUUUAUUUUGUUUAAGCGAUGGAGGGACGCAGGAGGCUAAGGAAAGCGCACGGCUGGAAAAGUGCGUCCAAGCAGUAAGUCCGGUAGCGAGUGAAAUGCUUGCCGCCUUAAGGACAAGCUGUGAUGGGGAGCGAAAUUAAAGUAGCGAAGUUCCUGAUGUCACACUGCCAAGAAAAGCUUCUAGUGAGAAAUAAACUACCCGUACCGCAAACCGACACAGGUAGUCGAGGAGAGUAUCCUCAGGUGAGCGAGCGAACUCUCGUUAAGGAACUCGGCAAAAUGACCCCGUAACUUCGGAAGAAGGGGUGCUGACCGCAAGGUCAGCCGCAGUGAAUAGGCCCAAACAACUGUUUAUCAAAAACACAGGUCUCUGCUAAAUCGUAAGAUGAUGUAUAGGGGCUGACGCCUGCCCGGUGCUGGAAGGUUAAGAGGAUGAGUUAGCGCAAGCGAAGCCCAGAAUUGAAGCCCCAGUAAACGGCGGCCGUAACUAUAACGGUCCUAAGGUAGCGAAAUUCCUUGUCGGGUAAGUUCCGACCCGCACGAAAGGCGUAAUGAUUUGGGCACUGUCUCAACGAGAGACUCGGUGAAAUUAUAGUACCCGUGAAGAUGCGGGUUACCCGCGACAGGACGGAAAGACCCCAUGGAGCUUUACUGUAGCUUGAUAUUGAGUGUUGGUACCGCUUGUACAGGAUAGGUAGGAGCCGUAGAGAUCGGAACGCUAGUUUCGAUGGAGGCAUUGGUGGGAUACUACCCUAGCUGUAUGAACACUCUAACCCGCGCCACUAAUCGUGGCGGGAGACAGUGUCAGGUAGGCAGUUUGACUGGGGCGGUCGCCUCCUAAAAUGUAACGGAGGCGCCCAAAGGUUCCCUCAGAAUGGUUGGAAAUCAUUCGCAGAGUGUAAAGGUAGAA